Molecule: Y RNA, 113 nt
Filed under: Carlito syrichta (Philippine tarsier)
Lineage: Eukaryota; Metazoa; Chordata; Mammalia; Primates; Tarsiidae
Description: Y RNA (ENSTSYG00000027414.1)
Rfam family: Y RNA
About the family: Y RNAs are components of the Ro ribonucleoprotein particle (Ro RNP), in association with Ro60 and La proteins. The Y RNAs and Ro60 and La proteins are well conserved, but the function of the Ro RNP is not known.
Source: Rfam by way of RNAcentral
GGCUGGUCUGAAGGUAGCAAAUUGUCUUGAUUGAUUUUUCAUAGUCAGUUAUAGAUUGAACUCCUCAUUCUACUCUUUCCCCACUUCUCACUGCUGUACUUGACUAGUCUUUA